This 66-nucleotide transfer RNA is filed under the name Phyllothelys sp. 1 JZ-2017. RNAcentral's name for it is "tRNA-Leu". The record is from RNAcentral. Lineage: Eukaryota; Metazoa; Arthropoda; Insecta; Mantodea; Hymenopodidae. RNAcentral also lists the same sequence under 1 other name.
UCUAAAAUGGCAGAUUAGUGCAGUAGAUUUAAGAUUUACAAAUAAAGCCUCACACUUUUUUUAGAA